This 1068-nucleotide ribosomal RNA is filed under the name Salmonella enterica subsp. enterica serovar Newport. Its description in RNAcentral is "partial 23S ribosomal RNA". It matches the Rfam family "Bacterial large subunit ribosomal RNA", at positions 140 to 1221 of the family's 2925-position model. Lineage: Bacteria; Pseudomonadati; Pseudomonadota; Gammaproteobacteria; Enterobacterales; Enterobacteriaceae. The record is from RNAcentral.
UCGUCACACUAUCAUUAACUGAAUCCAUAGGUUAAUGAGGCGAACCGGGGGAACUGAAACAUCUAAGUACCCCGAGGAAAAGAAAUCAACCGAGAUUCCCCCAGUAGCGGCGAGCGAACGGGGAGGAGCCCAGAGCCUGAAUCAGCAUGUGUGUUAGUGGAAGCGUCUGGAAAGGCGCGCGAUACAGGGUGACAGCCCCGUACACAAAAGCGCAUGUGCUGUGAGCUCGAUGAGUAGGGCGGGACACGUGGUAUCCUGUCUGAAUAUGGGGGGACCAUCCUCCAAGGCUAAAUACUCCUGACUGACCGAUAGUGAACCAGUACCGUGAGGGAAAGGCGAAAAGAACCCCGGCGAGGGGAGUGAAAAAGAACCUGAAACCGUGUACGUACAAGCAGUGGGAGCACAGGUUUACCUGUGUGACUGCGUACCUUUUGUAUAAUGGGUCAGCGACUUAUAUUCUGUAGCAAGGUUAACCGAAUAGGGGAGCCGGAGGGAAACCGAGUCUUAAUUGGGCGUUAAGUUGCAGGGUAUAGACCCGAAACCCGGUGAUCUAGCCAUGGGCAGGUUGAAGGUUGGGUAACACUAACUGGAGGACCGAACCGACUAAUGUUGAAAAAUUAGCGGAUGACCUGUGGCUGGGGGUGAAAGGCCAAUCAAACCGGGAGAUAGCUGGUUCUCCCCGAAAGCUAUUUAGGUAGCGCCUCGUGAAUUCAUCUCCGGGGGUAGAGCACUGUUUCGGCUAGGGGGCCAUCCCGGCUUACCAACCCGAUGCAAACUGCGAAUACCGGAGAAUGUUAUCACGGGAGACACACGGCGGGUGCUAACGUCCGUCGUGAAGAGGGAAACAACCCAGACCGCCAGCUAAGGUCCCAAAGUCAUGGUUAAGUGGGAAACGAUGUGGGAAGGCCCAGACAGCCAGGAUGUUGGCUUAGAAGCAGCCAUCAUUUAAAGAAAGCGUAAUAGCUCACUGGUCGAGUCGGCCUGCGCGGAAGAUGUAACGGGGCUAAACCAUGCACCGAAGCUGCGGCAGCGAACGUAUCACUUAAAGCGAUUCAGCGGGUUACGAUU